GUUGACGCGAGGUGUUUUCUGGGAAAGUAUCACUUCUACGCCAUUUUUCUCUACCAACAGGGGAGGGAGAUAAGUAAGAAUUUGAGUUUUUAAACGCCCUCAACGAUAUCAACUCUGGUAAAUCUUGAACUAUGGCAAGUCCGGGGAAAGACAGCUACAGGAUGAAGUGUUACAAGAACAAAGCCCUGAAUCCUCAAGAGAUGCGUCGGAGGAGAGAGGAAGAAGGAAUCCAAUUACGCAAACAGAAACGAGAGGAGCAGCUAUUUAAGAGGAGAAAUGUCUGUACACCGUCUGUUGAUGAAUCAAUGUCAGAAUGUCCAAUCCAGGAUCCAGACAUCAGCUCAACAGUACCUGUUGCCAACGAUGGAUUCAUAACACCUCAUAUGAUUAAGAUGAUCUUCUCUGAAGAUCCAGACCAUCAGCUGAUCGCUACACAACAAUUUAGAAAACUACUCUCCAAAGAGCCCAACCCGCCCAUAGACGAAGUUAUUGCCACUCCUCAGGUUGUGAAUCAGUUUGUUGAGUUCCUGAAGAGGAGUGAAAACUGCACAUUGCAGUUUGAGGCAGCCUGGGCUUUAACCAAUAUUGCCUCAGGGACCUUUCAGCACACCAAAGUUGUGAUUGAAACUGGAGCUGUUCCUAUUUUCAUCGAGCUGCUGAAUUCUGAGUACGAAGAUGUACAGGAACAGGCGGUGUGGGCACUGGGCAACAUCGCUGGAGAUAAUGCAGAGUGCAGAAACUAUGUACUGAACUGUGGCAUUCUGCCUUCUCUACAACAGCUGCUUACAAAAUCCAACCGUCUCACAACAACUCGAAACGCAGUUUGGGCAUUGUCCAACUUGUGUCGUGGGAAAAACCCGCCACCAGAUUUUUCCAAGGUGUCACCGUGCCUUAGUGUGCUGUCUCGGCUACUAUUUAGCAGUGAUCCAGAUGUGCUAGCUGAUGCUUGUUGGGCCCUGUCCUACUUGUCUGACGGUCCCAAUGAGAAGAUCCAGACAGUCAUUGACUCUGGAGUGUGUCGAAGGCUGGUGGAGCUCCUCAUGCACAGCGAGUACAAGGUGGUUUCUCCUGCUCUGCGUGCAGUGGGCAACAUUGUUACAGGAGAUGACAUUCAAACACAGGUGAUCUUGAAUUGUGCAGCACUGCCUUGUUUACUACACUUGUUAAGCAGUCCCAAGGAGUCUAUCAAAAAGGAGGCCUGCUGGACAGUGUCCAACAUUACAGCUGGAAACAGAGCUCAAAUUCAAAAUGUGAUUGAUGCCAACAUCUUCCCGGUAUUGAUUGAGAUUCUUCAGAAGGCAGAGUUCCGCACAAGGAAAGAGGCAGCAUGGGCAAUAACCAAUGCCACUUCAGGUGGUACUCCUGUGCAGAUCAGGUACCUGGUUUCUCUGAGUACAAUCAAGCCCAUGUGUGACCUUCUCACCGUCAUGGACUCUAAGAUCGUGCAGGUCUCUCUGAAUGGUCUGGAAAACAUCCUCCGACUGGGAGAACAGGAGGCCAAAAAGAAUGGAACAGGCAUCAAUCCUUACUGUGCACUUAUCGAGGAGGCUUACGGCUUGGACAAAAUCGAAUUCCUGCAGAGUCACGAGAACCAAGAUAUCUACCAGAAGGCCUUUGACCUGAUCGAGCACUACUUCGGUGUGGAUGAGGAAGAUGCCAGUCUGGCACCACAAGUAGACCAGGGACAGGGCCAGUUCAUCUUUCAACAGCAAGAAGGACCCAUGGAGGGUUUCCACCUUUAGCAUCACCUCGUCUUUACUUUUCCUGAUGUCAAGGAUCUUGUUAUCCAAUAACCUGGGUUCUGACCUAAUCUCUCCUGGGCCAGCUCCCCCAAGACCAUCCACAUCCUCUCGGCCUUCAAAACAUCAGACAUCUCUGAAACGACUUGGAGAUAUGCGAAUAUUGAGGCACAUCUGGGAGCCGUACCUUAGGGGGGGGGGGUACUGUCAUGAUCCUGCCCGUCCAGCCCUGGCUGUGCGGGUGCCUGUGCGGUCGCACUGAUUGGGAGGCGCACACUUGCGCCUCAUGCUGGCUGACUGGCCCCAGUGUAUAUAGGACCAUGGGGACGACUGGUCCGGCGCCAGAUCGUUGCAACUCAUGCCCCGUUCCAGCACUCCCGUACCCCUGAUCGUCAACCCGUGUGUACCGACCUCCGCCUAUUCUCCAACCGACCCGUAAGCCUGACUCCUUUGAUACUCCUGCCUGGUUUGAUCGAUCUCCCAUGUACUGACUCCUGCCUGCCCGCUGAGCUGCUCUCUACGCCCGACGUCCUGACUACCACUGCUGCACCUGACUGCCUGCCCCAUCCCCGACCAUGGAACAAUCAACGUUUUUCCAGAAUUACCUCUGCGUCUCCCGACUCCUACAUUUGGGUCCUACCUCCGUUUUGAUGGGUCGUGACAGAGGGUGCCAAUGAAAGCUACAAAGACAGCAUCUGAUAAUUUCAUCUCACUCAUAACACUGGUCCCAUGCUGUCAGCCUUGCUACAGAUAAUGCAUCCUCAGUGAUUGCAAAAAAAAAAGUUAAGAGAGAAAGUGCAAACUACAAAUGGAGGAUGUGAUUUUUGGACUGUUUGCUGUAUUUUGCACCAGGAGGCUUUGUGUUGCAAGUUGUUAAAUGUCUUCACUCAUUGUGUCCUUAACCCCAAACAAAAUGUUAUCUGUACUGUGCAUCUUUUAUGUUCCAGUUCCAAUUUUGUUUGUUUGGUGUGGAAAGGAAAACAGAGCGUGAGCAUGAUCGUUUUUUUCCCAUCUGAAAAUAAAUAUGGUGGGAUAAGGCUAAAUACAAGAAAUUACACAAGUUUUAUUAGUAAGCUUCCACCGCAAGACACUGUAUUCAAUGGGUUAUGGGCCCAUGAACAGCAGUCUAGGGCAAGGUAACAGAAGAAGAGAAUGUGAAAUUAACACAGCAAAUUAUCUUCAAUGGAACAGAAGAUAUGUAUGAUCUGUGUGAGACACAAUUCCUUAGCCGUUUCCAUAUUCUGAAGCUAAUGGACACAAACUGUUAUCACAGUUGGUUAAUGCACUCGAUGAGAAAAACCUAUUUCUGAUCAGACAUGAAGCUUCAGAAGAUGAGGGGAACUCGUCGUAUUGACAGUGUGAUGAAGACUAGCUUUAUCCAAAACUGACAAGAUACCAAAAAACAAGAAGGAUGGAGAAGCCAACAUAUCACGUUACUGGUGUGGACAAAAAGAACAUAUCCGAAACAAGUGCAACCAAAAGGUCUGGUGCGGUCACUGCAGAAGCAACACACACGCUGAAUCCCUAUGCAGAGAAAGGGGAAAAGAAGAUGGAGUCAGAGAAAUUGUUGACAAUAAAGAGGGAGACAUUGAUAAUGAGGAUCGGUGCUUUUUGGCCAAGGGACUCAUGGUGGAUGCUGGAGCAACAUCUCACAUUGUGAAUGAUAUCAAGUUCAAGAGCUUCGACAACUCAUUCCAGCUCGAUAAUCAUUCAAUUGAGCUGGUGGGUGGGACAAAGUGCCAACAUAGAGCACAGCUCAGAGAUUGUUUAUGCCAACAUACCCACAUGAUAGCUUCUCAGUGGCAAGAGGGACAAAUGGAGGAGCUACAGUCUUUCUUCAAGACGAGGGGCAGCUAGAUGAUCACCAAAAGUAACCACAGAUUUCCAUGAAAUUGGUUACCUAUUCUACUUGCCAACUGUUAGGUCCAAAGCACGGACUUCUCGCUCAAUGUGGACUCAGAGGCUCCGGCACCAGGAUAAAAUGAUGAGACAGAGGCAGAGUUGUUUUUUACCAAACUGCAGUUUAGGGAGAGUUCGGGGAGAGAAGAACAUAUUCUUCACGCCCGCACGUAAGACUCUCUUCGAGCUUUUCCAAAACCACACAUUUUAUUGAGCUUCAUACAUAGGGUGGGGGAGAGCAGGUUUCACAAGACAAGUAAAGUUGUUUUGCAGAGACAGUUAAUCUUCUCAAGGCUGGGUGUCCUCUGAUUAGACACAGUUCUUCCUGUUACAAAAACCCACAAGAAUGCAGCUAUCAUAAAUUUGCAGUCACUUUGAGCUCUUAAGCUUACAAGAAUGCAGCUAUCAUAAAUUUGCAGUCACUUUGAGCUCUUAAACUUCCCAUAGACAAACAGUACACACACGCAUCUUUGCACAG
Syngnathoides biaculeatus (alligator pipefish) is the source of this 4116-nucleotide RNA transcript. It is a transcript of the gene named karyopherin alpha 5 (importin alpha 6), with no coding region annotated. The record is from RefSeq and is a predicted model, not a curated record. The transcript has 15 exons. Lineage: Eukaryota; Metazoa; Chordata; Actinopteri; Syngnathiformes; Syngnathidae.